Molecule: ribosomal RNA, 253 nt
Filed under: uncultured bacterium
Lineage: Bacteria
Description: partial 16S ribosomal RNA
Rfam family: Bacterial small subunit ribosomal RNA
Source: RNAcentral
GACGUAGGGGGCCAGCGUUGUUCGGAAUUACUGGGUGUAAAGGGUGCGUAGGCGGCGCGGUAAGUCGGGUGUGAAAUCUCGGGGCUUAACUCCGAAACUGCAUUCGAUACUGCCGUGCUUGAGGACUGGAGAGGAGACCGGAAUUUACGGUGUAGCGGUGAAAUGCGUAGAUAUCGUAAGGAAGACCAGUGGCGAAGGCGGGUCUCUGGACAGUUCCUGACGCUGAGGCACGAAGGCCAGGGGAGCAAACGGG